Molecule: long non-coding RNA, 2662 nt
Organism: Dama dama (fallow deer)
Lineage: Eukaryota; Metazoa; Chordata; Mammalia; Artiodactyla; Cervidae
Exons: 2
Source: RefSeq, a predicted model, not a curated record
CGACUGCUCCCGCGGCUCCCUCAGGAUCUUCCUCGGGCUGGUCCAAGAUGGCGGCGCUCCCUGCACAGGGUUUCCUGUCACCCUCGCAAUGGGUCGGACCACAAAAGAAGGGGGGAGGAGGAUGCGCGCGCAGCCGGAGGAGCCCGGAAGAGGGUGGCCGGCGCCCGGCCUGUUGGCCACGCCCCUUCCGCAGUCCUCCCCUCUGGACUCGCCGCGACGCCCCCGAGCCCGCCCCACUGGUCCUCGCGCCAGAGGGGGCGGAGGCAGGCACUCACGCGCACGCGCAGUCUCUUGCCCUCGCCUCCUGGGGACGCUACUGCGCAGGUUCGCGUAGGACCUGCUGAGAAUUUGGCCACCACCUACCCUCUUCCAGCUUAGUCUUCUGUAUCGCUUUCCUCGAAAGUUUAGUGAGAAACGCUGGGCUGGAGGAAGCACAAGCUGAAAUCAAGACUGCCUCGAGAAAUAGCAAUAACCUCAGAUAUGCAGAUAACUCCACCCUUAUGGCAGAAAGUGAAAAAGAACUAAAGAGCCUCUUGAUGAAAGUGAAAGAGGAGAAUGAAAAAGUUGGCUUAAAGCUUACCAUUCAGAAAAUUAAGAUCAUGGCGUCCGGUCCCAUCACUUCAUGGCAAAUAGAUAGGGAAACAGUGGAAACAGUGGCUGACUUUAUUUUUCUGGGCUCCAAAAUCACUGCAGAUGGUGAUUGCAGCCAUGAAAUUAAAAGACGCUUACUCCUUGGAAGGAAAGUUAUGACCAACCUAGACAGCAUAUUGAAAAGCAGAGACAUUACUUUGCCAACAAAGGUCCGUCUAGUCAAGGCUAUGGUUUUUCCAGUGGUCAUGUAUGGAUGUGAGAGUUGGACUAUAAAGAAAGAUGAGUGCCAAAGAAUUGAUGCUUUUGAACUGUGGUGUUGGAGAAGACUCUUGAGAGUCCCUUGGACAGCAAGGAUAUCCAACCAGUCCAUCCUAAAGUAAAUCAGUCCCGAAUAUUCUUUGGAAGGACUGAUGCUGAAGCUGAAACUCCAGUACUUUGGCCACCUGAUGCGAAGAGCUGACUCAUUUGAAAAGACCCUGAUGCUGGGGAAGAUUGAGGGCAGGAGGAGAAGGAAAUGACAGAGGAUGAGACGGUUGGCUGGCAUCACCGACUCAACGAACAUGGAUGGGUUUGGGUGGACUCCGGGAGUUGGUGAUGGACAGGAAGACCUGGCGUGCUGCUGUUCAUGGGGUCGCAGACUCGGACACGACUGAGCGACUGAACUGAACUGAACGUGCAAGACCACAUUCUGACUUUCAUGGGCCCUGGGCACUUUUGCUUUGUGCUUGUGGAUAUAUGUUGCUUAAAACUCAACAUUCGGAAAACUAAGAUCAUGGCAUCUGGUCCCAUCACUUCAUGGCAAAUACAUGGGGAAACAAUGGAAAAAGUGACAGACUUUAUUUUGGGGGGCUCCAAAAUCACUGCAGAUGGUGACUGCAGCCAUGAAAUUAAAAGGCUCUUGCUCCUUGGAAGAAAAGUUAUGACCAACCUAGAUAGCAUAUUAAAAAGCAGAGACAUUACUUUGCCAACAAAAAAAAACAAAGUCCAUCUAGUCGAAGCUGUGGUUUUUCCAGUAGUCAUGUAUGGAUGGGAGAGUUGGACUAUAAUGCUGAGCACCAAAGAACUGAUGCUUUUGAACUGUGGUGUUGGAGAAGACUUUUGAGAGUCCCUUGGACAGCGAGGAGAUCCAACCAGUCCAUCCUAAAGGAAAGCAGUCCUGAAUAUUCAUUGGAAGGACUGGUCCUGAAGGUGAAACUCCAAUACUUUGGCCACCUGAUAUGAAGAACUGAUUCAUUUGAAUCAGUUGAAAAGAAUUCAUUUGAAAAGACCCUGAUACUGGGAAAGAUUGAAGGUGGGAGGAGAAGGGGACGACAGAGGAUGAGGUGGUUGGAUGGCAUCACCAGCUCAAUGGAGAGGAGUUUGAGUAAACUCCAGGAGUUAGUGGUGGACAGGGAGGCCUGGCGUGCUGCAGUCCAUGGGGUCACAAUGAGUCAUACAUUCCUGAGCAACUGAACUGAACUGAACUGUGGAUUUAUGUAUUUAUGUAAUAUGUAAUAUUUGUUUAAUAUAUAGUUCAUACUUUAUAACUGCACUAUAUAUAUAUAUAUAUAUAUACAGAUAAACAUUUGUAUAUAUAUAUACACAUGUAUAUAUACAGAUACACUAUAUAUACAAAUGAACAAAUUGUUACAUAGCAAAUCAUUUUCUUCAACCUAAAAGUUAAUUUUUCUCUUCUGAUUUUGAAAGAGUUUAAAAGAUCUCAUAGACCCCCUAAAAGUAUUGUGGACCCUAGUCACUGUGUCUCCUGUACCUGAUGGGUAAGAGGGCCCUGCCUCAGUCCACCAAAGUGAAGUGCAAGCUUGCUUUGGGCAUUCAAAACCUUUCGUAAGCUAGUUCUGUUGUGGGCAAGCGAGAUUUCAUUGGGAAAAAAAAUGUACUGGAAUUUAUAAGUAUCUUUUUUUUUCAUAGAAAGACUUGAGAGUGAAUCUCUGCUCCACAACUCACUAAUGAUGUCUUUGGCAUGUCACUUGAGUUCUCAGGUCUUCAGUCUCCUCAAAACUAAUAAUAAUAAUAAUAUAUAUAUAUAAAACAUGAGUCUUUGUGAAAAUUAAAUGAGAUAAUAUAUGCAAAA